GGCGUCGACGAGCGCGAGCGGCGGAUGAUAGAGUAGAAAUACUCGGGGCGAUCCGUCGAAACAUUUAUAACUGGUAGGUUAAACUACCAGCUAUAAAGGCCCCGUUAGAAGGAAGAGGUGGUUUCGGUUAUCGGACUAUUUCUUCGCUGCCACAUCGACACUCGCCUCGCAUUCGGAGUCGGAGGCUCUUAGCGAUCUAAACGGUCUAUGCCCUUAGAUAGUUAGGCCGUGGGAAACCAUUGGACCCUUAUCUCCGAGGUAAUCGUAUACAGAUGCUUCGGGAGGCUUACAAGCCUAAGGAUCUCAUUGUCCCUCCAGAUAGUCUCUAUGUUAGCGACUAUCUGGCGUGGAUUACUGAGUAUACC
RNAcentral lists this small RNA (365 nucleotides) under Lupinus albus (white lupine). RNAcentral describes it as "hypothetical ncRNA". The record is from RNAcentral. Lineage: Eukaryota; Viridiplantae; Streptophyta; Magnoliopsida; Fabales; Fabaceae.